AUUAACAUGCUCAAAAAAUGUUUUAACAACUGUCGAUUUAAUUUAAAGUAAUUUUAAACUGGUUUUAGAUAACUGGCUUGCCUUGGUUUGACUUGUACUUACACUUUAGUACUAAAUUAACACAUAAGCCACAUGCAUUCAUUUUUGAAUUCCAUUUUAUUUUGUAACAUGAAAACAGUUUGCUAGGAGCUAUUCCAGCAACACUAAACAGCUUGCAGAAGCCAAACUUGAAUGGGAUACCAGUACAUUUUGGACCCGAACUUAUUCAUAGGCAUUCACUUUAGAGGUGCCAAUUAACCUCAAAUGCCCUUGUGUUUGGGAUAUUGAUGGAAAUUAUAAAUAAUAUGGAUUUAACAAAUGUAUAAAAAUCCUUUUUAGUACUCCUAAUGAUUUGGUAAACAUUUCACCUUUUAGUAAUAUUAAUAGUUGUAUAGAUGUUAAAAAUAAUUUUAUGAAGCACAUUUGCAUUACAACAAUAUCAUUUUUGACCAGUAGCUACUUUAUGUUGUAGUCAAACGUUUGCCAGAAACCUGGUGCUUCAGUUUCUGUAAAUAAGUUAUUACUGAUCUAUUAAAAAGAGAUGUCAUUCUACACUAUGUCUAGAAUUGAAAAUUGAGACUUUAGAGACCCUGUACUAGAAAACCUGUCAAAAAUGGAUAGCUGGUUUUGCUGAUAUGUAUAGUGACUGUUUUCAGUAACUGGCAGAAUUUGUUGCCACUACAAAUACAACUAAUAAAAAUGUAGUAACACACAAUAUGUACAUAAUAGUUAAUUAAUUUUGAAUUUAAACAUUCUUAACUUUAGGUUGAGCCACUGAUUCUUGCAGACCAGAAUGUAACUACUCAAAAAAAUAAAAAAAAAAUAAAA
Erpetoichthys calabaricus (reedfish) is the source of this 867-nucleotide long non-coding RNA. RefSeq lists it as uncharacterized. NCBI's taxonomy places the organism in Eukaryota, Metazoa, Chordata, Cladistia, Polypteriformes, Polypteridae. The record is from RefSeq and is a predicted model, not a curated record. The transcript has 2 exons.